CAUAGCGCUUAAAGAAAAUACUGUAACAACAAACCUUCCUCCAUCAGUAUUUUCAAAAUUCAAUUUUCCAUUAGCAACUGAGGAAGAACUGCACAAUUUUGAGAGUCACUUGGCAGACAGAGAGAAGUACCAGCAAGUGCAAUUGGAAUUAUCAAGAAUUGGUGGUGGUACCACCAAAAUUAUGGUACGACGUUUAAUGGAGAAGCUUAUAAGCAGUCAACUUGGUGUUGAGUACAGUUGGAUAGGAUUUAAGAAAAAAAAGAACUUCUCAGUUUUACUCAUAUCCAAAGUACUCAUAGAUGCUGUAUUGGCUGUGCAUAAAAAUUCAAAUGCAGCGGAAGUGGAAGCAUCAGCCAAACAAUGGCUGGUUAAGUGUAAGGAGCGAUGCACCAAAGAAAAAUAAUUUAUAUUAUUAUAAGAAUAUUAU
Molecule: long non-coding RNA, 427 nt
Organism: Harmonia axyridis
Lineage: Eukaryota; Metazoa; Arthropoda; Insecta; Coleoptera; Coccinellidae
Exons: 3
Source: RefSeq, a predicted model, not a curated record